This 1450-nucleotide ribosomal RNA is filed under the name Bifidobacterium pseudocatenulatum. Its description in RNAcentral is "bacterial SSU rRNA". It matches the Rfam family "Bacterial small subunit ribosomal RNA". The record is from RNAcentral. Lineage: Bacteria; Bacillati; Actinomycetota; Actinomycetes; Bifidobacteriales; Bifidobacteriaceae.
GAUGAACGCUGGCGGCGUGCUUAACACAUGCAAGUCGAACGGGAUCCAUCAGGCUUUGCUUGGUGGUGAGAGUGGCGAACGGGUGAGUAAUGCGUGACCGACCUGCCCCAUACACCGGAAUAGCUCCUGGAAACGGGUGGUAAUGCCGGAUGCUCCGACUCCUCGCAUGGGGUGUCGGGAAAGAUUUCAUCGGUAUGGGAUGGGGUCGCGUCCUAUCAGGUAGUCGGCGGGGUAACGGCCCACCGAGCCUACGACGGGUAGCCGGCCUGAGAGGGCGACCGGCCACAUUGGGACUGAGAUACGGCCCAGACUCCUACGGGAGGCAGCAGUGGGGAAUAUUGCACAAUGGGCGCAAGCCUGAUGCAGCGACGCCGCGUGCGGGAUGACGGCCUUCGGGUUGUAAACCGCUUUUGAUCGGGAGCAAGCCUUCGGGUGAGUGUACCUUUCGAAUAAGCACCGGCUAACUACGUGCCAGCAGCCGCGGUAAUACGUAGGGUGCAAGCGUUAUCCGGAAUUAUUGGGCGUAAAGGGCUCGUAGGCGGUUCGUCGCGUCCGGUGUGAAAGUCCAUCGCUUAACGGUGGAUCUGCGCCGGGUACGGGCGGGCUGGAGUGCGGUAGGGGAGACUGGAAUUCCCGGUGUAACGGUGGAAUGUGUAGAUAUCGGGAAGAACACCAAUGGCGAAGGCAGGUCUCUGGGCCGUUACUGACGCUGAGGAGCGAAAGCGUGGGGAGCGAACAGGAUUAGAUACCCUGGUAGUCCACGCCGUAAACGGUGGAUGCUGGAUGUGGGGCCCGUUCCACGGGUUCCGUGUCGGAGCUAACGCGUUAAGCAUCCCGCCUGGGGAGUACGGCCGCAAGGCUAAAACUCAAAGAAAUUGACGGGGGCCCGCACAAGCGGCGGAGCAUGCGGAUUAAUUCGAUGCAACGCGAAGAACCUUACCUGGGCUUGACAUGUUCCCGACAGCCGUAGAGAUAUGGCCUCCCUUCGGGGCGGGUUCACAGGUGGUGCAUGGUCGUCGUCAGCUCGUGUCGUGAGAUGUUGGGUUAAGUCCCGCAACGAGCGCAACCCUCGCCCUGUGUUGCCAGCACGUCAUGGUGGGAACUCACAGGGGACCGCCGGGGUCAACUCGGAGGAAGGUGGGGAUGACGUCAGAUCAUCAUGCCCCUUACGUCCAGGGCUUCACGCAUGCUACAAUGGCCGGUACAACGGGAUGCGACACGGUGACGUGGAGCGGAUCCCUGAAAACCGGUCUCAGUUCGGAUUGGAGUCUGCAACCCGACUCCAUGAAGGCGGAGUCGCUAGUAAUCGCGGAUCAGCAACGCCGCGGUGAAUGCGUUCCCGGGCCUUGUACACACCGCCCGUCAAGUCAUGAAAGUGGGUAGCACCCGAAGCCGGUGGCCUAACCCUUUGUGGAUGGAGCCGUCUAAGGUGAGACUCGUGAUUGGGACU